Long non-coding RNA from Patella vulgata (common limpet), 844 nucleotides. RefSeq lists it as uncharacterized. The record is from RefSeq and is a predicted model, not a curated record. Lineage: Eukaryota; Metazoa; Mollusca; Gastropoda; Patellidae. The transcript has 3 exons.
CGUACAUGUAAAUUUUCAAAUUUUGCAAGACCUUUGUUUUUUUUAAGCGACCUUAAACCUGCAUUGAAAUGGAUUCAGUUGAUGAUCAAUCAUUUUAUCAGUGUAAUGUGUGUGAUGAUAAAUUUGAUUUGUACACAGACUUGGAAAAACAUUGUGAAAUACAUGUUAAAAGAGACGAAGAAGGAUUUUUCCAUUGCGAUGCUUGUGAUAAAACCGUUGAAUCACAGAGUUGUUUAAAUCACAAAUGUUACAUCGAUUCAUCUGUAUUAUCUUUGUCUCAAAUAGAGGCAGAAAUAAAUGGUUUGACCAGUGCAGUGCUGAGCAGUAUUAAUGAAAGGAAUUCUGCUAAUGAUAAAACAUUACAUGAAUCUGAGAUGAGUGAUGAAAAAUUUGACUCAAACACUGACACAGAACAGCGUUGCCAUGUUCAUAUGAAAAAAGAGAAAACAUGUGUUGAUGGUGGGGAUGUGGAUGGUAAUUGCAAUGUUGAUGGUUUUGAUGCCAGUGAUGCUGUUUAUGACCAUGAAGGGGAUAACACUGGUGACCAUGGUGGUGGUGCUGAUGUUGCUGGAAUCAAUGAGUUGAAUGAAGUAGAUGAUUUACAGACAAGGAGAAUACAAGAUAUAUCUGUUAAUAAAGAUCUGAAAUUAGAGACAAAUGAUAAAUUACAAGUUCCUGUGGUGAAAGAGUUUGAAUUACCAGACAAAGAAUCAUCCCAAAUUGAUCUUAGUAAACAAACUGAAGAAAAGAAAACAAAUGUUACUAAAGAAAGACCUUUUGAAUGUGAUGUUUGUGGAAAAUCAUUUAUAACUUCUGGUAGUCUAAGAAUACAUUUGAGAAUUCA